UGCCUAACACAUGCAAGUCGAACGAGAAAGUAGCUUCGGCUAUGAGUAAAGUGGCGAACGGGUGAGUAACACGUGGGCAAUCUGCCCUUGAGAGGGGGAUAACAUGCCGAAAGGUAUGCUAAUACCACAUGAUGUCCUCGAAUCACAUGAUUUGAGGAUCAAACGAUGGUCACUACUUGUAAACUAUCGCUCAAGGAUGAGCCUGCGUACCAUUAGCUAGUUGGUAGGGUAACGGCCUACCAAGGCUCCGAUGGUUAGCUGGUCUGAGAGGACGACCAGCCACACUGGAACUGAGACACGGUCCAGACUCCUACGGGAGGCAGCAGUGGGGAAUCUUGGACAAUGGGGGAAACCCUGAUCCAGCAACGCCGUGUGAGUGAUGAAGGUCUUCGGAUCGUAAAGCUC
RNAcentral lists this ribosomal RNA (405 nucleotides) under uncultured organism. Its description in RNAcentral is "bacterial SSU rRNA". It matches the Rfam family "Bacterial small subunit ribosomal RNA", at positions 45 to 433 of the family's 1533-position model. The record is from RNAcentral.